AUGACGUUGGGAAAGCGAGCGGCGGAUGGGUGAGUAACACGUGGGGAACCUGCCCCUAAGUCUGGGAUACCAUUUGGAAACAGGUGCUAAUACCGGAUAAUAAAGCAGAUCGCAUGAUCAGCUUUUGAAAGGCGGCGUAAGCUGUCGCUAAGGGAUGGCCCCGCGGUGCAUUAGCUAGUUGGUAAGGUAACGGCUUACCAAGGCGACGAUGCAUAGCCGAGUUGAGAGACUGAUCGGCCACAUUGGGACUGAGACACGGCCCAAACUCCUACGGGAGGCAGCAGUAGGGAAUCUUCCACAAUGGAUGCAAGUCUGAUGGAGCAACGCCGCGUGAGUGAAGAAGGUUUUCGGAUCGUAAAGCUCUGUUGUUGGUGAAGAAGGAUAGAGGUAGUAACUGGCCUUUAUUUGACGGUAAUCAACCAGAAAGUCACGGCUAACUACGUGCCAGCAGCCGCGGUAAUACGUAGGUGGCAAGCGUUGUCCGGAUUUAUUGGGCGUAAAGCGAGCGCAGGCGGAAAAAUAAGUCUAAUGUGAAAGCCCUCGGCUUAACCGAGGAACUGCAUCGGAAACUGUUUUUCUUGAGUGCAGAAGAGGAGAGUGGAACUCCAUGUGUAGCGGUGGAAUGCGUAGAUAUAUGGAAGAACACCAGUGGCGAAGGCGGCUCUCUGGUCUGCAACUGACGCUGAGGCUCGAAAGCAUGGGUAGCGAACAGGAUUAGAUACCCUGGUAGUCCAUGCCGUAAACGAUGAGUGCUAAGUGUUGGGGAGGUUUCCGCCUCUCAGUGCUGCAGCUAACGCAUUAAGCACUCCGCCUGGGGAGUACGACCGCAAGGUUGAAACUCAAAGGAAU
RNAcentral lists this ribosomal RNA (849 nucleotides) under uncultured bacterium. Its description in RNAcentral is "bacterial SSU rRNA". It matches the Rfam family "Bacterial small subunit ribosomal RNA", at positions 77 to 910 of the family's 1533-position model. The record is from RNAcentral.